GGAUGAGCCCGCGGCCUAUCCGCUUGUUGGUGGGGUGAUGGCCUACCAAGGCGACGACGGGUAGCCGGCCUGAGAGGGUGUCCGGCCACACUGGGACUGAGACACGGCCCAGACUCCUACGGGAGGCAGCAGUGGGGAAUAUUGCACAAUGGGCGGAAGCCUGAUGCAGCGACGCCGCGUGAGGGAUGACGGCCUUCGGGUUGUAAACCUCUUUCAGCAGGGAAGAAGCGUGAGUGACGGUACCUGCAGAAGAAGCACCGGCUAACUACGUGACAGCAGCCGCGGCCG
RNAcentral lists this ribosomal RNA (288 nucleotides) under uncultured Streptomyces sp. RNAcentral describes it as "partial 16S ribosomal RNA". It matches the Rfam family "Bacterial small subunit ribosomal RNA", at positions 223 to 523 of the family's 1533-position model. Lineage: Bacteria; Bacillati; Actinomycetota; Actinomycetes; Kitasatosporales; Streptomycetaceae. The record is from RNAcentral.